Molecule: long non-coding RNA, 1067 nt
Organism: Bufo gargarizans (Asiatic toad)
Lineage: Eukaryota; Metazoa; Chordata; Amphibia; Anura; Bufonidae
Exons: 3
Source: RefSeq, a predicted model, not a curated record
UGCUUCUUCUUGGGGUGAGGGAUUUUCUAGAGAGCCAUGAAUGAGUUGAUCUAUGGCAGCCAUUACACUACCAGUAAAUUAUCAGUACAGUUCAAGUUUCUCAUAUACUGUCCUUGCACAUAGUGCCCCUCUUUUUCGUGCUUGACUCUUGGUAACUAGCUACUGUGACAUUGAGCUUCAGUUGUGUAGCUGCUGUGACAUCACACAUUUCUUUCUGCCAGUUAAACUACUGUGACAUCACAAACGUGGCCCCAGCAGAUAAGCUGCUAUGACAUCACAAACGUGGCUCCAGCAGAUAAGCUGCUAUGACAUCACAGGACACAUUUAUCUGAGCCCAAGACUUUGACAAUUAAGGGGGCUAACAAUAGCCAGUAUAUACAACAGAUGGACAGCCUCUAUUCAUAUAUGACACUAUAAAGAAUACAAAAUGAAUCACUGAUUUAUUGCUUCCAUUGAUGCAUGGGUGAGAGAGAUUGCCCUCUCCAGGUCAAUGGGUUGGCUUUCCAUCAAUAAAGACUGAAUAGAUGAAGAUUCCUAAGGAUUGGCCUGGAAUAAUUGGCUCCACAAUACCAAGAAGACAAAAGAAGAUCUAGAUCCAGAGAUUUUCUAUUAAGUAAAAAAAAAAACUAUGAAAUAUUUUAACAUAAAUACUUAUACCAUGUUCACAAUUCAAAAUAUGUUAGUUGUAUUGUUAUGUCUUAGACAGUACUGAUUUAUACUGUGAUGGGUUGGGGAUGAUGCUGCUUACCAUUGUAGACUACGGCCCAUGACUUCAGUGUCAGACUAGGGUUCCUGAGGCCCACCAGAAGAAACUAGUCCUAAAAGCCAACCCCUGGAUCACGGGUCAUCAAUACAAUUUUAAAGGUUUUGAAUCCAAGAAAAAGACCUUAAUAACAAGAGAUUGUCUCCAAAGGCAACCAAAUGUUUUUUUUUCUCCUGAACCUUUGAUGCCCAUUAUGGUGAUGUAUCGUGGACCAACGGAGGAUGUUCUGGUACUCUGAUGGGCCAAUCCAACCCUGAGUGCAUUAUGUUGAUGACCGCAACAGUGCAGCCUAAAAUAGUAUAAA